This 253-nucleotide ribosomal RNA is filed under the name uncultured bacterium. RNAcentral describes it as "partial 16S ribosomal RNA". It matches the Rfam family "Bacterial small subunit ribosomal RNA", at positions 524 to 776 of the family's 1533-position model. The record is from RNAcentral.
UACGUAGGUGGCAAGCGUUAUCCGGAUUUACUGGGUGUAAAGGGCGAGUAGGCGGGCAGACAAGUCAGAUGUGAAAUCUGGGGGCUUAACCCCCAAACUGCAUUUGAAACUGUAGGUCUUGAGUGAUGGAGAGGCAGGCGGAAUUCCCGGUGUAGCGGUGGAAUGCGUAGAUAUCGGGAGGAACACCAGUGGCGAAGGCGGCCUGCUGGACAUUAACUGACGCUGAGGAGCGAAAGCGUGGGGAGCAAACAGG